Molecule: long non-coding RNA, 1261 nt
Organism: Dipodomys spectabilis (banner-tailed kangaroo rat)
Lineage: Eukaryota; Metazoa; Chordata; Mammalia; Rodentia; Heteromyidae
Exons: 3
Source: RefSeq, a predicted model, not a curated record
AGGAUUACAGGCGUGAGCCACCAGCGCCCAGCCCCUCCACUUCUUUUUAGUUCUAGCUUCGUCCAUGGUAGCUAGAUUGUACCUUGGGAGCCCCCUUCAUCCCCUCAGCAAAUGAGCUGAAAUACAACAUACCCAGGCAUUACCCAGGUAUUGCUAUGCUGCCCCUUGUGGCCAGAUGUAGAAAAUGUUUCAGUUGUUGACAAAAAAAAGAUAGUAUUCAUUUAGGUUAAGGAGUUGAGAUGUUGUGCUUAGACAGGGAAUUCUGCCUGGUAGAAUUCAAGGUGGACACGCCAGAAAACUGGUACCAAAUGAUUUUGCUCAUAUGAUAAAGUGCCAUUGAGUUCAAUGACCAGCAAGUGUUUAGACAUGACUCCUGUUUUAUAGCUGGACUUUUUCCCACCUCUCAGUUGGAAAGGUUCCGCCUCCCAUGGGCACAGCUGUUUUCUAGGCAGUGACUGUACUCAGUCGAUUAGCUCAGCUGGACAGACUGUUAUUGUGGUCUAGCUGCAGACCACUGACUGACUCAUGUACUGCACACACUGUAUGCUGCAUCCUGGUCCGGGUGCCUGCUGCUCACAGGAGUUCUGCAGUGUAUGUGCUGAUGCCGCUGAGUGGUAAAUGUUUGGAGACAUUUAUAGAUGUUUAGCUCUGAGGAAAAGAAAAAAAUAACCUUUUUAUCUCUUCAGAAAUCUAUGUGCUAUAUGCCCACCCCAAUGACACAGAGGCAAGUAAUUGUGAAAAUUUGUCUGUUUAUGAGUAGGUACUUUUUGUGUGUGUGAGCAGGGAGUCUAAUCGUUUGUUCCUUGUGGUGAUUAUGGUGAUUUCUUAACCUUCAUGUAAUGUUACAGUUUUUUCUAACAAUUUAUUGUCCUAUCUACCCAAUAGUGUGGAACCAGAAAGCAUUUUUUUUUCCUGGCCCCAUGUUGCAUAGAUUCUUCGAAUUUAGUAUCAAAGUGUUGAGGAUAGAAUUAGUACUGUCCUGGGCUUGGAUUUUAAACACUAGCCGUGUGCCAUGCCAGAGGGGCGAGCGUCUGGAGCUGGGGAUUGGCCUUUCGCCAUCGGAGGUGCCCUGUGGGAGCCCUGCCGCCAUGCUUCCCUGGGCUUCUCCGAGUUGGCUUGGGAAAUGCAUGUUUUCUAGACUGUUGUUGGAGCUCUGGUCCCAGUCACCAGGGUCAGAGGCAGUGGCUCUGGUGUGGAGUGGCGGUCACCACUAAACCUUCCUUUUCACUAACUGGGGUAGUGGAUGAGCAUCUGGUGCCUU